GCUGUGACUGCACCUUGGGGCAGCCCCAUGGAGUCCAGCCCACUAUAAGACCACAGCCCUCGACCCUGCCGAGCCCACCAGAGAGACACACGCAGAGAUGCUGGUGCUGGUGGGACUGGUGCUGUUCCUUGUGCCUGCAGAAUCCCUGACUGCCUUCCCCCCAAAGUUCCAGGUGGGGAAGCUCAACCAGGACAUGGUGCUGCAAUGUGACACUUCAGAGCAGCACAUCUACUGGACACUGAACGGAGAGGAGGACCCCAUGGCUGAACUGGUGCCUGAGGGCCAGAACCUCACCAUCCUCGGCUUGGACCUGCCAGCCACUGGCAACUACAGCUGCUGGGCCGGCCCUGUCCUGCUGGACACCACCUACG
Sturnus vulgaris (Common starling) is the source of this 371-nucleotide non-coding RNA. Lineage: Eukaryota; Metazoa; Chordata; Aves; Passeriformes; Sturnidae. The record is from RefSeq and is a predicted model, not a curated record.